GACGAACGCUGGCGGCGUGCUUAACACAUGCAAGUCGAACGGAAAGGCCCUGCUUUUGUGGGGUGCUCGAGUGGCGAACGGGUGAGUAACACGUGAGUAACCUGCCCUUGACUUUGGGAUAACUUCAGGAAACUGGGGCUAAUACCGGAUAGGAGCUCCUGCUGCAUGGGGGGGGUUGGAAAGUUUCGGCGGUUGGGGAUGGACUCGCGGCUUAUCAGCUUGUUGGUGGGGUAGUGGCUUACCAAGGCUUUGACGGGUAGCCGGCCUGAGAGGGUGACCGGCCACAUUGGGACUGAGCUACGGCCCAGCCUCCUACGGGAGGCAGCAGUGGGGAAUCUUGCACAAUGGGCGGAAGCCUGAUGCAGCAACGCCGCGUGCGGGAUGACGGCCUUCGGGUUGUAAACCGCUUUCGCCUGUGACGAAGCGUGAGUGACGGUAAUGGGUAAAGAAGCACCGGCUAACUACGUG
RNAcentral lists this ribosomal RNA (468 nucleotides) under uncultured bacterium. Its description in RNAcentral is "partial 16S ribosomal RNA". It matches the Rfam family "Bacterial small subunit ribosomal RNA", at positions 28 to 507 of the family's 1533-position model. The record is from RNAcentral.